CUCAAAUUUUUAAUCCCUCAAAUUCGGUGCUAGCUGAUGGCCAUAUACCUUGGGCCUGCGAGGCAUUCUCCCAGUCCCAUGGACAGCAACUUGUACAGAACCCUGCUCUUCUAUGGGGCUGGCGUUUCUUCAUGAUUAAACUCUGGAACCACAGCCUUCUAGACGCUCGCACCAUGGACACGUGCAACACAAUCCUCCAAGGUUUCCAAGACAAGAAGUAAUUUCAAUGCUUCGGGGGGAACAACUGUUCGUAAAGCUGUUCCUGGGGGAAGAGAGGAGGGUCAUUGUUUCAUUCAUGAUUGAUGUCAAUUGUAUUAAUUGUUGCUGAAAAGAGAUGACGUAACAGGGGCACCUCCCAAACUGUAACAAUAUAAUGUAUCCUGGGUGAUACUUGGAUUUGAUGAAUAUUAGUGAUGUUUCCUUACUUAAGAGUUGUGA
Molecule: long non-coding RNA, 438 nt
Organism: Setaria italica (foxtail millet)
Lineage: Eukaryota; Viridiplantae; Streptophyta; Magnoliopsida; Poales; Poaceae
Exons: 3
Source: RefSeq, a predicted model, not a curated record